This is a non-coding RNA of Bactrocera oleae (olive fruit fly), 668 nucleotides long. Lineage: Eukaryota; Metazoa; Arthropoda; Insecta; Diptera; Tephritidae. The record is from RefSeq and is a predicted model, not a curated record.
AGCAAACUUAAGUCGAAGAUUCAUCAUUAGUUAAAUUAAAAAUCGAUAAAUAAUAAACCAAGUGGCUAAAUUAAUUGAUUUAUAAUCAUGUUAUAGAACUUGUGAUGACAGAAUUGUUUUUACGGAUGAGGGAAACGUUGUUUAUUUAAAAAAGAAAGUAAACCAUUAUACUUGACUUUUUAUUUAUGGAGAAACGAAUGAGUCUCUAAGAAAGCCGUAUGGCCUUUAUAACGUUUUGGAUUUAUAAUUUAUGAUAAAUUAUAACACAGUACAACACUCGGCUGAGUAUUAGACCAAAACAAUUUUUUUUCGAUAGAUACGCUUAUACAAAGGUAUAUGUGGAAUCUUUAUAAGAAAACCGAAUAACGAAGUUCUACGUCACUACUAUCUAAAAGAAGGUUGGGUUAAAAUUUAGUUUACAUCCGUAUGUGUAUCUAAAGUAUCGAUUUCGCAGCUUUAUUUUUAAUUUAUCAAUAAAUAUAAACAUAAUAAAUUUAUAUUGUUAAAUGUGUUAGAAGAAAGAAAAUGCUGAGAAAAUUAUUCCGAAUCAAAACAUUCGAAAAUACAGCUGUCAGUUACGCAUUCGCAUGUAAAAGAAUCUACUUAACCUCAUCAAUUAGAUGAAUGUGUUUUUUAGAGACAUCGAGGAACAUAUACGUGAUACAAAC